Molecule: ribosomal RNA, 384 nt
Filed under: uncultured cyanobacterium
Lineage: Bacteria; Bacillati; Cyanobacteriota
Description: bacterial SSU rRNA
Rfam family: Bacterial small subunit ribosomal RNA
Source: RNAcentral
GAUGAACGCUGGCGGUCUGCUUAACACAUGCAAGUCGAACGGACCCUUCGGGGUUAGUGGCGGACGGGUGAGUAACGCGUGAGAAUCUGCCUUUAGGAGGGGGAUAACAGCUGGAAACGGUUGCUAAUACCCCAUAUGCUUUUAAGUGAAAUGGGUUUCCGCCUAAAGAAAAGCUUACGGCUGAUUAGCUUGUUGGUAAGGUAAUGGCUUACCAAGGCGACAAUCAGUAUCUGGUUUGAGAGGAUGAUCAGACACACUGGAACUGAGACACGGUCCAGACUCCUACGGGAGGCAGCAGUGGGGAAUUUUCCGCAAUGGGCGCAAGCCUGACGGAGCAAUUUCGCGUGAAGGAUGACGCCUAUGGGUUGUAAACUUCUUUUUCUA